AGGUGGGAGAUGUGACUUCCUUCCAACAUACGGAAUGGAGCAAAGGUGACCGGGUGUCACUUCCAUGAUUAUAUCACGUAAGUCCAAAUGCAGCCAAUCACCAGCCACCUAUGCCAUCACCUGGCGGAAGCGGCUGAGGGAAUCAGCUGUGCACCUGGAAGAGGAAAGGCAGCUGCUGGGAUACUGGAGUCAGAAUAUGGUCAACAGUAUAAAUGGAUGGAAAGGAUCAACAAGGUCCAUGGCCACAAUAGCUUUGUAAGGAGCAUAGUCUGUCUACUUCCCUAAAGCCUUAGUCCUUGAGCUGCUCCCCUGUUCAUUCUGAAACCUGGAAUGCACAGCUACAGAACCAACACUUCAGCCAUAUUCCAAACACAAGCAGUGUUUUCCAUUUCUCAGUGUGACUUGUCCUUUCCAAAUUCAUUGUCUAUGUAAUAAGGCUUGCUACUAUACCGAUGACGGA
Molecule: long non-coding RNA, 460 nt
Organism: Lutra lutra (Eurasian river otter)
Lineage: Eukaryota; Metazoa; Chordata; Mammalia; Carnivora; Mustelidae
Exons: 3
Source: RefSeq, a predicted model, not a curated record